Bombus pascuorum is the source of this 556-nucleotide long non-coding RNA. RefSeq lists it as uncharacterized. Lineage: Eukaryota; Metazoa; Arthropoda; Insecta; Hymenoptera; Apidae. The transcript is spliced from 2 exons. The record is from RefSeq and is a predicted model, not a curated record.
CUGCUGUCACAUAGCCACAAAGUAUGCAAGGCAAAAGAAGCAGGCUGAGCCGCAGUUUCCAACAUCGAAUACAUCUCCAAAGGAAGCGAGUAACAGCUCGUUCAGACGGUCUUUUCGUCGGUAAUUUACAAGUAAUUGCGGUGAUUUUACCGGAAACAGCGUCCACACGUUUCCGUAUUUUCGUCGCACGUUCAGCUACCAAAACAUGGUUUCAAUGAAGUGCGUAAUAGCUGUUAUUGUAAUAGCUUAUUCGCGCUACGACGAAUUAUUCACUCGUCGAUUCAAACGUCUGUUGUAAGAGUCACGGAGACUAUAGAAGAGUGGGAAAUGAUAAAAAUAAAUACGGGAUUUUUAAUAUCGUUCGUGCAGCGAAGGUUCGCUAUUUGGGAUAAAAAGAUGUUGAUAAAAUUAAUAGAUUAGCAAAUAAAAUUUCCCAAAAGUGAGAAAGAAAGUGAUCGCAUUCCAUUUUCUAAAAGUCUUUUGUCAUCGUUACGUAUAUUCAACGAUGAUGAAAUUCUAGAAUUUCAAGUCGAAGUUAUAAAUACAAUACAAUAAA